UGGGGAAUAUUGGACAAUGGGCGGAAGCCUGAUCCAGCAACGCCGCGUGAGGGAUGACGGCCUUCGGGUUGUAAACCUCUUUCAGUACCGACGAAGCGAAAGUGACGGUAGGUACAGAAGAAGGACCGGCCAACUACGUGCCAGCAGCCGCGGUAAUACGUAGGGUCCGAGCGUUGUCCGGAAUUAUUGGGCGUAAAGGGCUCGUAGGCGGUUUGUCGCGUCGGGAGUGAAAACAGCGGGCUUAACUCGUUGCUUGCUUUCGAUACGGGCAGACUAGAGGUAUGCAGGGGAGAAUGGAAUUCCUGGUGUAGCGGUGAAAUGCGCAGAUAUCAGGAGGAACACCGGUGGCGAAGGCGGUUCUCUGGGCAUUACCUGACGCUGAGGAGCGAAAGUGUGGGGAGCGAACAGGAUUAGAUACCCUGGUAGUCCACACCGUAAAACGUUGGGCGCUAGGUGUGGGGUCCUUUCCACGGAUUCCGUGCCGUAGCUAACGCAUUUAAGCGCCCCGCCUGGGGAGUACGGCCGCAAGGCUAAAAACUCAAAGGAAUUGA
RNAcentral lists this ribosomal RNA (551 nucleotides) under uncultured bacterium. RNAcentral's name for it is "partial 16S ribosomal RNA". It matches the Rfam family "Bacterial small subunit ribosomal RNA", at positions 355 to 913 of the family's 1533-position model. The record is from RNAcentral.